GACGAACGCUGGCGGCGUGCCUAAUACAUGCAAGUAGAACGCUGAAGCUUGGUGCUUGCACCGAGCGGAUGAGUUGCGAACGGGUGAGUAACGCGUAGGUAACCUGCCUGGUAGCGGGGGAUAACUAUUGGAAACGAUAGCUAAUACAGCAUAAUAGUAGAUGUUGCAUGACAUUUGCUUAAAAGGUGCAAUUGCAUCACUACCAGAUGGACCUGCGUUGUAUUAGCUAGUUGGUGAGGUAACGGCUCACCAAGGCAACGAUACAUAGCCGACCUGAGAGGGUGAUCGGCCACACUGGGACUGAGACACGGCCCAGACUCCUACGGGAGGCAGCAGUAGGGAAUCUUCGGCAAUGGACGGAAGUCUGACCGAGCAACGCCGCGUGAGUGAAGAAGGUUUUCGGAUCGUAAAGCUCUGUUGUAAGAGAAGAACGAGUGUGAGAGUGGAAAGUUCACACUGUGACGGUAUCUUACCAGAAAGGGACGGCUAACUACGUG
RNAcentral lists this ribosomal RNA (497 nucleotides) under uncultured bacterium. Its description in RNAcentral is "partial 16S ribosomal RNA". It matches the Rfam family "Bacterial small subunit ribosomal RNA", at positions 28 to 507 of the family's 1533-position model. The record is from RNAcentral.